This is a non-coding RNA of Leuconostoc mesenteroides subsp. mesenteroides ATCC 8293, 218 nucleotides long. NCBI's taxonomy places the organism in Bacteria, Bacillati, Bacillota, Bacilli, Lactobacillales, Lactobacillaceae. The record is from Rfam.
UCAGAAACAUUGAUAAGGACAACUCGAUUGUCAUGCACUUAAAGAGAGUUCAUGUUUGGUGAAAAUGAGCAGUGCAUACAUAAGAGACUACCUUUGAGUGGUGAUUUAGUAGUUUUAAAUGAAAAGUUGCCCGGGUGAUACCGUUAUAUAUCAUUUGAGAGAAAUAGGAAUUUUUCCUGUUUUAAACUUGGGUGGUACCGCGGUAAAACGUCCCUUUA